CUUUAUUAUUUUUUGUUAAUUAUAAUAUGUUAUGUAAAUUAAUUUGUUUCAGUCUACUAAUGGUUUGUGGUGUGUUUACUUUGAUAUUACGAUUAACAGAAGUUAAUAUAUAUUUUUACAAAUUAAAUUAAAAUAUCAAUAUAUAGGGUUCAGAUGCAGUAAAAAUUACACAUGGACAAAUUCAUAAAAUUUAUGAAUCCGACAUGAACAAAUUUAAUUAAAAUAUCAAUAUAUAGGGUUGAAUGCAUUGUUCAUAUGUUACAUUAAUUUAUUCACGUCAAAUUCAUGAAUUUUACUGAUUUAUUCGCUUAUUCUCAUUUCGAAAUAUAUUCAUUAUCACUGGAUCUCAUUCUCUUUAUUAGGGUAUAAUAUUUCGGAUGAGAUCCAGUGUACCCAAAAUUGUGUCCCACUCCAUGUCCCACAAGUAAAACUACGUAGUUUUGAUUGUAACUUAAAAUUAAAAAUUAUACUACUGCAUAUGAAAUCUCGGCUCAGCUUGACGGCUUGGAGAAUCUUCUCCAUUCACUGAUAGAUAUGCUUCAACCGUAUGAGAAGGAAAAUUUCCGAAUUUCCGGCAAAAAUCAUCAAGCCAUGGAAAUUAGAUAUCCUUUCUCUUCCCAAUUCAUUCGUUCUCCUACUCAUAUCCAAAGUUUGGGUCUGAAUCUGGUUUUAAUCUCUUUCUGCAAUCACGGUUCCACCAAAUCUGAAGGAAAGUUUCCGAAUUUCUGCCAAACAUCAUCUAGCCAUGGAAAGUAGAUAUUUUUCUCUUCAUAGUUCAUUCGUAUCUCCUACGCAAAUCCAAAAUUCAAACAUGAAUCUGGUUUUACUCAAUCUCUCUCCAGCCCUUUUCUCUCGCCAUCCUUUUCUGCGGCACAACGGAUACGACAAUCGAAAUCACGCCGUCGUUGCCGGAGUGCACCUGUCUCUUAAACAUUGUACUAAUGUUUGCAUCUGGCUUACUCGUAAAUGGACCUACUCACUAAUAACAAUCGCAUUUGUUGCUGAUCUUGGCACCCAGAGCAGGAUAAGAUGGACUUUCCCUGCAUUAGCUAUUGUUACAGCAAUCACAGAUGGAACCGGUUUUAUAGGUGUUUUUUUCGGUCCUCUUCUGGCUAGAUGUAUUUCGACUAGAGGGUGGUGGAACAACAUUUGUUCAUGCUUAUUAUUUCUUGUGCUGCGUGUUUGUUGAUUCUUGUUGUUAUAAAUGAAAUUAAAAUGAAAGCUGAAUGAGGGUAGAUGGCUAUGGCUCAGCAUAAUUGAUAGGUGAUCAUGGCCUUGUAUUUUUUAAUUUUUUCCUUAGUAUUGAUUGUUGACUGUAUAAUCCCUCCGGAUGGUCGGGGAUGAUGGACAUAUAUAUAUGUAUCCAGCUGUCCACUUGAAGAAUGAAUGGAGAUCAUCAUCGUGUAUAUUUUCCUGAACUUUUGAGGGCACUACUCUUUAUAAAAAUGUAUAAAUUGAUGACCAUCUCAUGUAUCUUAUCGCGCAGGUAUUGCACUUGAAUACCAUAUAUUGGAUCAAGAUUUAAUAUGACUAGUUUGGUA
Molecule: long non-coding RNA, 1541 nt
Organism: Salvia miltiorrhiza (redroot sage)
Lineage: Eukaryota; Viridiplantae; Streptophyta; Magnoliopsida; Lamiales; Lamiaceae
Exons: 2
Source: RefSeq, a predicted model, not a curated record